Molecule: ribosomal RNA, 868 nt
Filed under: uncultured bacterium
Lineage: Bacteria
Description: bacterial SSU rRNA
Rfam family: Bacterial small subunit ribosomal RNA
Source: RNAcentral
GGCUUAGAGUUUGAUCAUGGCUCAGGACGAACGCUGGCGGCGUGCCUAAUACAUGCAAGUCGAGCGAGCGGAACUAACAGAUUUACUUCGGUAAUGAUGUUAGGAAAGCGAGCGGCGGAUGGGUGAGUAACACGUGGGGAACCUGCCCCAUAGUCUGGGAUACCACUUGGAAACAGGUGCUAAUACCGGAUAAGAAAGCAGAUCGCAUGAUCAGCUUUUAAAAGGCGGCGUAAGCUGUCGCUAUGGGAUGGCCCCGCGGUGCAUUAGCUAGUUGGUAAGGUAAAGGCUUACCAAGGCGAUGAUGCAUAGCCGAGUUGAGAGACUGAUCGGCCACAUUGGGACUGAGACACGGCCCAAACUCCUACGGGAGGCAGCAGUAGGGAAUCUUCCACAAUGGACGCAAGUCUGAUGGAGCAACGCCGCGUGAGUGAAGAAGGUUUUCGGAUCGUAAAGCUCUGUUGUUGGUGAAGAAGGAUAGAGGUAGUAACUGGCCUUUAUUUGACGGUAAUCAACCAGAAAGUCACGGCUAACUACGUGCCAGCAGCCGCGGUAAUACGUAGGUGGCAAGCGUUGUCCGGAUUUAUUGGGCGUAAAGCGAGCGCAGGCGGAAGAAUAAGUCUGAUGUGAAAGCCCUCGGCUUAACCGAGGAACUGCAUCGGAAACUGUUUUUUCUUGAGUGCAGUAGAGGAGAGUGGAACUUCAUGUGUAGCGGUGGAAUGCGUAGAUAUAUGGGAAGAACACCAGUGGCGAAGGCGGCUCUCUGGUCUGCAACUGACGCUGAGGCUCGAAAGCAUGGGUAGCGAACAGGAUUAGAUACCCUGGGUAGUCCAUGCCGUAAACGAUGAGUGCUAAGUGUNGGAGGNUUCCG